GCAUUGUGGUGCGCUCUCGCAGAGUCGAGUUGUUUGGGAAUGCAGCUCUAAAUGGGUGGUAAAUUCCAUCUAAAGMUAUAUAUUGGCGAGAGACCGAUAGCGAACAMGURCCGYGAGRGAAAGAUGAAAAGAACUUUGGAAAGAGAGUUAAACAGUACGUGAAAUUGCUGAAAGGGAAACGCUCGUAGUCWGUCGCGUUGACCAGGGAUCAGCCYUGCUCUUUUGUGAGGUGUACUUCCUGGCCAACGGGUCAGCAUCAGUUUCGACCACUGGAGAAAGGCUUGAGGAAUGUGGCACCUCCGGGUGUGUUAUAGCCUCUUGUCGUAUACAGUGGUUGGGACUGAGGAACUCAGCACGCCGCAAGGCCGGGUUUCGACCACGUUCGUGCUUAGGAUGCUGGCAWAAUGGCUUUAAGCGACCCGUCUUGAAACACGGACCAAGGAGUCUAACAUGCCUGCGAGUGUUUGGGUGGAAAACCCGAGCGCGCAAUGAAAGUGAAAGUUGRGAUCUCUGUCGUGGAGAGCAYCGACGCCCGGACCAGAAGUUUACGGACGGAUCUGCGGUAGAGCAUGUAUGUUGGGACCCGAAAGAUGGUGAACUAUGCCUGAAUAGGGUGAAGCCAGAGGAAACUCUGGUGGAGGCUCGUAGCGAUUCUGACGUGCAAAUCGAUCGUCGAAUUUGGGUAUAGGGCGAAAGACUAAUCG
RNAcentral lists this ribosomal RNA (704 nucleotides) under Marasmius jalapensis. RNAcentral describes it as "partial large subunit ribosomal RNA". Lineage: Eukaryota; Fungi; Basidiomycota; Agaricomycetes; Agaricales; Marasmiaceae. The record is from RNAcentral.